GACGAACGCUGGCGGCGUGCUUAACACAUGCAAGUCGAACGGAAAGGCCCUGCUUUUGCGGGGUGCUCGAGUGGCGAACGGGGGAGUAACACGUGAGUAACCCGCCCUUGACUUUGGGAUAACUUCAGGAAACUGGGGCUAAUACCGGAUAGGAGCUCCUGCUGCAUGGUGGGGGUUGGAAAGUUUCGGCGGUUGGGGAUGGACUCGCGGCUUAUCAGCUUGUUGGUGGGGUAGUGGCUUACCAAGGCUUUGACGGGUAGCCGGCCUGAGAGGGUGACCGGCCACAUUGGGACUGAGAUACGGCCCAGACUCCUACGGGAGGCAGCAGUGGGGAAUAUUGCACAAUGGGCGGAAGCCUGAUGCAGCGACGCCGCGUGCGGGAUGACGGCCUUCGGGUUGUAAACCGCUUUCGCCUGUGACGAAGCGUGAGUGACGGUAAUGGGUAAAGAAGCACCGGCUAACUACGUG
RNAcentral lists this ribosomal RNA (468 nucleotides) under uncultured bacterium. RNAcentral's name for it is "partial 16S ribosomal RNA". It matches the Rfam family "Bacterial small subunit ribosomal RNA", at positions 28 to 507 of the family's 1533-position model. The record is from RNAcentral.